This 328-nucleotide long non-coding RNA is filed under the name Nicotiana benthamiana. RNAcentral describes it as "long non-coding RNA (NBEN_LNC022152)". Lineage: Eukaryota; Viridiplantae; Streptophyta; Magnoliopsida; Solanales; Solanaceae. The record is from RNAcentral.
CCCAAAGAAAGUAACUAUAUUCUCACUGCAAAUGCUCAUAUUAAGUCCUAGAAGGACAAAGUCUUUGAUACGCUUAAAGCGUAUAGACAAAUCGGUUUAAAAAAGAACUUCUUAAUAAAGAAGAUGAGCAAAUGAUCAAAGUGAUCAUAAUAAGGAGGCAGUGAUCUAGAAGAUCACAUGACAUAACACUUCAUAAAAUCUCAUGAGAUAUUUAGGUACCUCAAUAUAUGAAUGAAGAGAUCGCUAUGUUAUGUCUUUAUGGAAAGCUUUUGGAACCGAUAUAAAAUAUUUGUCGUCGACAUCUAUCAUAGCGCUAAGUUUAGAUGAG